AGGCACGUAUGUCAAUGGUAGACGGCUUCCCUUACAAGGAAGAGGUUGGGGGUUCGAAUCCCUCCGUGCCUACCA
Molecule: transfer RNA, 75 nt
Filed under: Acidobacteriota bacterium
Lineage: Bacteria; Pseudomonadati; Acidobacteriota
Also listed under: 3 other names
Description: tRNA-Val
Rfam family: tRNA
About the family: Transfer RNA (tRNA) molecules are approximately 80 nucleotides in length. Their secondary structure includes four short double-helical elements and three loops (D, anti-codon, and T loops).
Source: RNAcentral